CCCUAAUUCUAACACAAAACACACUCACCCUUUUCCCCAAAAACCUAGCCGUCACACCCCAACCCCCUUCCUCACUCUCUCGGCACAACACCCACACACACGGUUAGCAUACACACACACACACCCCCAUAUGAACGAAGAAGAGAUGAGAGGAGGGAGCUCUCCAUGUUGCCGCCAUCCAACUUGUCGCCACUGCCGCUGCCAAGUCGCCGUCGCAUCGCCAUUGGAGUAGAGAGAGAGAGAGAGAACGAAUGCAAAGGGGGAAGAGAAAGCCAGGCGCAACAAAGAAUAUGAGAGGGACCGUCACGUGCCGUCACUGCUGUCCAAGACAUUGCCAUCGUCAUUGGUGUGUUCGGAGCUCACUGUUGCUGCUGCCAGGCCUCGCGUCGCCACUGGUUUGUAUUGGAACCAAGUCAGAGCAAAACCGCAAAGAGAGAGAGUUCGCGAAUAAGAAAGAGGGUGACGCAGAGAGAAAGGAUCGCAGGCCUGGAACCGCCAUGCCGUCGAUAGAGCCGUUGCACUGUUACCGCAGUUGAGGUUGCCACCGUCUCUGGUGGGAUUCCGCCACGGGGAGAAGCUUGAAUAGGAGAGAGGGAGGCGCGACCAGAUGUGAACGAAGGGAGAAGGCAGGCUCAUCGAAGAAGGAAGAGGCCUCGUGGCCGUGCCUGGCUGCUGGGAAAGUCGAUGUGGCCGCCAGAACUACCACAGGGCCUGCCACUUCUUGGUUCGGUCGUUACUCCUUGGAACGAGUUGCUGUGGUUGUUGCGAAAGUGAUUUGGAACUGAGGUUACGGCUGCUGCCAUCGCGAGCCAAGAGAAAAUGGAGUUUUAUUGCGUAAUUAAGUCACAAACGAGGAUGGACGAAGAGUUAAGAAGUUUCUUUCGAGCAUUGGAUUGUACUAUAUAUUAUUGUAUAUACAGUUAUAGUUUUUUCUUUCCUU
Long non-coding RNA from Arachis duranensis, 940 nucleotides. RefSeq lists it as uncharacterized. NCBI's taxonomy places the organism in Eukaryota, Viridiplantae, Streptophyta, Magnoliopsida, Fabales, Fabaceae. The transcript is spliced from 3 exons. The record is from RefSeq and is a predicted model, not a curated record.